RNAcentral lists this transfer RNA (69 nucleotides) under Alsodes gargola (Tonchek spiny-chest frog). RNAcentral describes it as "tRNA-Arg". It matches the Rfam family "tRNA". From Rfam's summary of the family: Transfer RNA (tRNA) molecules are approximately 80 nucleotides in length. Lineage: Eukaryota; Metazoa; Chordata; Amphibia; Anura; Alsodidae. The record is from RNAcentral.
GAGGUGUUAGUCUAAGUAAGACAGCUGAUUUCGACUCAGCCAACCAUGGUUUAAACCCAUGACCCCUCU